CAGUAGCCGCGGUAAUACAGAGGGUGCGAGCGUUAAUCGGAUUUACUGGGCGUAAAGCGUGCGUAGGCGGCUUCUUAAGUCGGAUGUGAAAUCCCUGAGCUUAACUUAGGAAUUGCAUUCGAUACUGGGAAGCUAGAGUAUGGGAGAGGAUGGUAGAAUUCCAGGUGUAGCGGUGAAAUGCGUAGAGAUCUGGAGGAAUACCGAUGGCGAAGGCAGCCAUCUGGCCUAAUACUGACGCUGAGGUACGAAAGCAUGGGGAGCAAACAGGAUUAGAUACCCCCGUAGUCCCUGUAUCUUAUAC
This 301-nucleotide ribosomal RNA is filed under the name uncultured bacterium. RNAcentral describes it as "partial 16S ribosomal RNA". It matches the Rfam family "Bacterial small subunit ribosomal RNA", at positions 509 to 807 of the family's 1533-position model. The record is from RNAcentral.